RNAcentral lists this ribosomal RNA (558 nucleotides) under uncultured eukaryote. RNAcentral's name for it is "eukaryotic LSU rRNA". It matches the Rfam family "Eukaryotic large subunit ribosomal RNA", at positions 1103 to 1643 of the family's 3401-position model. The record is from RNAcentral.
GGACGUGAAGUCGACGAUGGUCGGUGGGCUGGUUUUGGUAAGCAGAACGGGCGAUUCGGGAUGAACCGGAAGCGGGGAGAAAGGGCCCGAGAUUGCGUCGACGCGGAUCCCGAAAAGGGCGUCGAUCCGUCGCGACAGCGGGACGGUGGUCAUGGAAGUCGAAAUCCGCUAAGAAGCGUGUAAAAACGUACCCGCCCAACGGAUCGGCCCCGAAAAUUGAUGGCGCUCGAACGCAACCCUCGAACCCCGCCGACGGAGGCUAGGGGAGGCCCCGUCGAGUAGGCGGACGCGCGGGUCGCUUCGACGCUCCCGCGCGAGCGGGGGCGGAGCGGCCCGUGGUGCAGAUCUUGGUGGUAGUAGCGAUCACCCAGGCGAGAACCCUGAGGGCCGAAGUGGAGAAGGGUUUCUCGAGAACGGCACUCGCUCGAGAGUUAGUCGAUCCUAAGCUGCCGGCGGCAGCCACGAAACGGUCGAUCGGGCGCGAGCCCGGCAGCCACGACCGGGCAGCGAAAGGGAAUUGGGAACCUCCUUCCCAAACCCGGAACCGGAACGAGGGCG